This 440-nucleotide ribosomal RNA is filed under the name uncultured bacterium. RNAcentral describes it as "partial 16S ribosomal RNA". It matches the Rfam family "Bacterial small subunit ribosomal RNA", at positions 338 to 795 of the family's 1533-position model. The record is from RNAcentral.
CCUACGGGGGGCAGCAGUGGGGGAUAUUGCACAAUGGGGGAAACCCUGAUGCAGCGACGCCGCGUGGGUGAAGAAGCGCCUCGGCGCGUAAAGCCCUGUCAGCAGGGAAGAAAAUGACGGUCACUGCAGAAGAAGCCCCGGCUAACUACGAGCCAGCAGCCGAGGGAAUACGUAGGGGGCAGGCGGUAUCCGGAUUUACUGGGUGUAAAGGGGGCGCAGACGGCGAUGCAAGCCAGGAGUGAAAGCCCGGGGCACAACCCCGGGCCUGCUGUUGGAACUGCGUGGCUAGAGUGCAGGAGGGGCAGGCGGAAUGCCUGGUGUAGCGGUGAAAUGCGUAGAUAUCAGGAGGAACACCGGUGGCGAAGGCGGCCUGCUGGACUGCAACUGACGUUGAGGCCCGAAAGCGUGGGGAGCGAACAGGAUUAGAUACCCGUGUAGUC